RNAcentral lists this unclassified non-coding RNA (631 nucleotides) under Hevea brasiliensis (rubber tree). Lineage: Eukaryota; Viridiplantae; Streptophyta; Magnoliopsida; Malpighiales; Euphorbiaceae. The record is from RNAcentral.
UUUGGUCAUUAACUCCAAAGUUAGUUGAUUGGAGCCGGCUAGAAAUUGUCUAACCUUCUAAAUUAUUGUAGUUUUGAAGAUUGAAAAAAACAGAGGAGGACAGAAAGGGCUUAGAGAGUUUUAGAUGAAUCCCAAUAAAUAAGUGAAACCAUGUUGAGCUUGAAUAGCCAUGUUAACAUGUCAGUUCUAUGUCAACUCAAUAUAGACACAUCACCGCUAAUGGAAUGAUUCCAGCCCUUUAAUGCAACUGCCACCAGUUAUAAAUUCUAUUACAACUAAUAGAAUUGAAAGUCUAGGAUUUAUAGGACUAUUUGCCCAAAAAGACAAUUUAGAGCCUCAUCAUUAUACUAGCAACGUUUAAAUCAAAAUAAUUCCUAAAUCUACUCUUCCUUGGAUGCGUCAUUUCUUAUCAUGGGAUUCCUAAUCCAAGUACUAGUAAGACUGGUUAUGGUACUAUAAAUACUUAUGUCAUCUAGACAAUUGAGAAUUAAUAGAAUGAGAGUUUAUUUCUUUUUCCCCUUUAAGUGUUCUUUGUGUUCUACAUCAAAGGGAAGCUAGCAGGGGCAUCAGGUAAGUAUUAUUGAUACUUAUCAAGUAGUACUUCUCACCUUCCCGCAAGGUUGAUCAUUUU